This 877-nucleotide long non-coding RNA is filed under the name Salmo trutta (river trout). Its description in RNAcentral is "lncRNA (ENSSTUG00000023354.1)". Lineage: Eukaryota; Metazoa; Chordata; Actinopteri; Salmoniformes; Salmonidae. The record is from RNAcentral.
UUAUCUAUUGAAAUAUAGUUUGGAUAUAUUUUAAAAUGUGGUUUCAUGGUGAUUUAUAAUUUUUUCCAGAAUCUCCAACCACCUCAGAGAUCAGUCUCUCCAGUACCCAGUCAUCUGUCCAUGAAGAGUGACUUCUCUAUGGCUCAUCCUAUACACUUUAGUGAUGGAUCAGGGACCUUUGACCCCAGAAUCUCCAAGCAAACUCAGUCUCUCCAGAGAUCAGUCUCUCCAGUACCCAGUCAUCUGUCCAUGAAGAGCGACUUCUCUAUGGAUCAUCCUAUACAUUUUAGUAGUGGAUCACGGACCUUUGACCCCAGAAUCUCCAAGCAAACUCAGUCUCUCCAGAGAUCAGUCUCUCCAGUACCCAGUCAUCUGUCCAUGAAGAGCGACUUCUCUAUGGAUCAUCCUAUGCAUUUUAGUAGUGGAUCAGGGACCUUUGACCCCAGGUAAGUUACUGGUCAGAAUUGAUGAUAUUUCUAUUGAAGAGGAGAACCUUCAAGAUCUGAAACCUGAUGUAUUUUGUGUAUCUGAGUAUAUACUGUAAAGCAUCUGCUUAUCAUUUGUUGUUCAUGUCAUAUAUUUUUUAUACAGUGAGUGUACAAAACAUUAUGAACACCUGCUUUUUCCACGACGUAGAUUGACAAGGUGAGUCCAGGUGAAAGCAGUGAUCCCUUAUUGAUGCCACUUAAAUCCACUUCAAUUAGUGUAGAUGAAGGGGAGGAGACGGGUUUAAUAGGGAUGCACCGAUAUGACAUUUUUGGCCGAUACCCACAUCCAGUAUUUUCCUUUUAAAACAACCCGAAUCCGAUAUCUGGUAUUUUCCUUGCCAAACCACCCGAUAUCCAAUAUUUUUCUUGCCAAUCAACCCGAUACCGAU